Molecule: non-coding RNA, 813 nt
Organism: Pimephales promelas (fathead minnow)
Lineage: Eukaryota; Metazoa; Chordata; Actinopteri; Cypriniformes; Leuciscidae
Source: RefSeq, a predicted model, not a curated record
UUUGAGCGGUUACAGAGAGAGAAAGAGAUAAAGAGAGAGAGGAACAUGCGCUCGCUACACGUCUCCUGCUGUGACAGAGUAUAAUUAAAUUGUGGAGAACGACACCGAUAUUGCUACCUAAACUAGAAAGAGGAAAGGGUUUGUGGUCAGCAUUUAAAAAAGAGGAAAACUUUUCCAGUUUCAUGAGGACUCUUCUCGUUGGGUUGCGUUCUUGAAGACGUUUGCGUGUGUUACUGAACUGGACGACUUUGCUCUUGUCUUUGGAGUUGAUUUGUGGAUUCGAUGCAUUGGGAUGAGAUGGCUGGAGAGAUCCAUGCAAGGAGACUUCACAGAUCUGGGAUCAGGAGAGCAUCUUCCACCGUUCAAACGGUCAUGCUUCAUCGGUUGUCCAACAGACAGUCAACAGUCAAAAGGUUUUUGAAGAACACACUCCAGGUACAAUGGACUUCAAUGGGGUCCAACGGGUCGAGAUGUGAGUUUCAGUGCAGCUUCAAAGUCUCGACACGAUCCGGCCGAGGAAUAAGAGUCCGAUCUAACCAAACCAGCGGACAUUUAUAACAAAAUAUACAUUUAUAUACUUUUAACCACUAAUGCUGGUCUUGCGACACACAUUACGUAAUCAGGUUGACUUUUCGGCUCAUAAUGAGGACGUUUUGAUUAUAUUAUGUUGCUUGUUUGUUUUUAGACACUUAUUUUAAGCUAAAUAAAAAAAUCUUCAAUCAGUGAUCUCGGGUUGAUUGGGACACUCUCCCCCAGUCAUCUCAGUGGGAAAAAGUGUCCAAGUCAACCUGAACGCACAUGGGUGUCUAAAUG